CUGAUGCCUGCUGCCCAGGCGAGACAACCUGCGGCUCAGCCUCCCCGGCCCGCUGUCAUCUCCAGGUCCCCUGCAGAGAAGGAGACGGUGAGCGACACUGUCAAGACCAGAUCCAGAUCUGAAACAAACACCUGUAGGUGACCUACCUGGAAGAAAUCCUCCUCAGCAGACUGGAUCCCAGGCCUCCCUCCAGCCUGAUCAACCUGUCUAACCAACCAGAACUCUGAGAGGAACGCUGAGCAGAAAAUGUCUGCUGCACUGUGCCAGCUGGUUUGAGAGUCGUGGUGUCGGAGCGAGCAUCAGCGUUUCUUUGCCUAAACCGAGACCUCAAUCACUUCCUGUGCUACUUCUCAUUUCUCACUCUCUGCGCCUUCCUUGCAUCUCCCCACCCCAGUGUGACACUUGUGAUACUGUUAGAGAAAUCAGCAGCAAAAAGUGUCACAAGCUGUUUUUUUUAAGGUUUUGAAUGAACCUAUAUGCACACUAGCAGGCCUUUGAUGGCCUACAUAGAUAAGAGGAGUAUGAUGACUCAAAUGCACGAGUGUGUUGUCAGACGUUAUCAUUCAGUCUUAUACUUUUAUGGUAAUUUUUUGUCUUUUGCUGGAUGAAAGAUGGAAACAGCCCAUUGCAAUGCAAAGAAUAUUCACAAAAUGGUCUCAUGGCCUUUAAAAGUGGCAGUUUGUAGUGUUUUCUUAAUGCUGGUGGAAAUCUGGACGCUGCACCUGACAGAAUGAUUGUCCGCAUAAAUUUCCUUACUUAAAAGGACAGUUAACCCUUAAAAAAUAUGUGUUUUUCUCUUAUACCUGUAGUGCUGUUUAUCAGUCUAGGUUGUUUUGGUGUGAGUUGCAGUGUUGGAAAUAGAAAUGUCUUCCCUCUUUCCUAUAUAAUGGAAUGAGAUUAGCUUGAGGUGCUCAAAGCGCCAAUUAAAAAAACUCAAAAACAAUGUCUCUUUCCAGAAAUCAUGACCCAGUUACUCUAGAUAAUCCACAGACCUUGUUGUGAGCAGUUUUAUGUAGGAACUAUUUUCUUUCUACCAAACGACAUCUUCCAAACAUAUUACUGUGCAUCUACUGCUAGCUCACCUAGCACCAGUGAGCUAGCUAAUGCUACAUAAUGCCAUUAAUGUUUACAUCUCACGCUGUCACGAGCCUCUCAUCCAUGAGUAGAUCAAGAAAUCCUCUCACAAUGGUUCAUAUGGUAUCGAAGAAAUUAGUGCCCCAUGAAUGAUGUUGUCCUGUUAUGUAUUUAAUGUAAAGUUACAUAGAUUAAGUUUAGGAAAGGUUGUGUAGGCUAGGUUUAGGAAAAGAAAUAUGAUUGGGCGUCAUCACCUUACAUACUUAAGUUAAAGUUACAUAGGUUAGGUUUAGGAAAAGAAAUAUGGUUGGGCAUCAUCAUGUUACAUACUUAAGGUAAAGUUACGUAGGUUAGGUUUAGGCAUGUAGGUUAGGUUUAGGCAAUAACGUUACGUAGGCUAGGGUAAGACAAGUCAUGUAGGUUAGGUUUAGGUAAAGUUACGUAGGUGACAUUUAGGCAAGUUUUGUAGGUGAGGUUUAGGUAAAGUCACAUAAGUUUAGAAGAGUAAAGUUACGUAGGUUAGGUUUAGGUAAAAUUAUGUAGGUUAGGUUUAGGUAAAGUUAUGUAGGUUAGGUAAAGUUACGUAGAUUAUGUUUAGAAGAGUAUAGUUACGUAGGUUAGGUUUAGGAAAAGUUACGUGGGUUAGGUUUAGGUAAAGUUACGUAGGUUAGGUUAGGGUAAAGUUAUGUAGGUUAGGCUGAAAACAAACAAACAAACCUGAUAACAUACUUUAAAAUAACUCAAACAUCACUUGAUGUCACACGUGACACAAACACCAGUUUUCUGGGAUAAAAGUCCUGUGUUUGUUUGACCCAUCCACCACCCCAGCCUGCCCCCAGAUUUUUGUUCUUUAUAUUACUUCCUUCUUUACCCCCAUCAGCGCACUGGUCACAUGAUCGCAGCCUCUCGAUUUCGUGGGUUAUACAUGAAUUACUGGCUCAUAAUUACGUGAUUUACAUACAAAUAGUUCCUACAUGAAACUGCUCACAACAAGGUCUGUGGAUUUUCUGGAGUAACCAAGUCAUGAAUUCUGCAAAGAGACAUUGAUGUUGAGUUUUUUUAAAUUGUAUUUUUGGGGGCUUUGAGCACCACACGCUGAGUGCCAUCUAGUUCUAUCACAUUGGAGAGAAGGCAGACAUCUCUAUAGCUGAUAUCUCCAACACUCAGCAACUCACACUGAAU
Long non-coding RNA from Epinephelus moara (kelp grouper), 2256 nucleotides. RefSeq lists it as uncharacterized. Lineage: Eukaryota; Metazoa; Chordata; Actinopteri; Perciformes; Serranidae. The transcript has 3 exons. The record is from RefSeq and is a predicted model, not a curated record.